AUGCUUUUGUGUUUCAUAAGUGUGAUGAUUGGGUUUUCACACUUAUAUGUGAGAUGUGCCUCCCUCAAACCUUGUUAGGAGUAGUGGCUAGACACAUCACCUAUCUCACU
Molecule: small nucleolar RNA, 110 nt
Organism: Callithrix jacchus (white-tufted-ear marmoset)
Lineage: Eukaryota; Metazoa; Chordata; Mammalia; Primates; Cebidae
Source: Ensembl